RNAcentral lists this ribosomal RNA (1463 nucleotides) under uncultured Bordetella sp. RNAcentral's name for it is "partial 16S-23S ribosomal RNA intergenic spacer". It matches the Rfam family "Bacterial small subunit ribosomal RNA". Lineage: Bacteria; Pseudomonadati; Pseudomonadota; Betaproteobacteria; Burkholderiales; Alcaligenaceae. The record is from RNAcentral.
AGUUCGAUCCUGGCUCAGAUUGAACGCUGGCGGGAUGCUUUACACAUGCAAGUCGAACGGCAGCACGGACUUCGGUCUGGUGGCGAGUGGCGAACGGUGAGUAAUGUAUCGGAACGUGCCUAGUAGCGGGGAUAACUACGCGAAAGCGUAGCUACGCAUACGCCCUUCGGGGGGAAAGCGGGGACCUUCGGGCCUCGCACUAUUAGAGCGGCCGAUAUCGGAUUAGCUAGUUGGUGGGGUAACGGCUCACCAAGGCGACGAUCCGUAGCUGGUUUGAGAGGACGACCAGCCACACUGGGACUGAGACACGGCCCAGACUCCUACGGGAGGCAGCAGUGGGGAAUUUUGGACAAUGGGGGAAACCUGAUCCAGCCAUCCCGGCGUGUGCGAUGAAGGCCUUCGGGUUGUAAAGCACUUUUGGCAGGAAAGAAACGGCACGGGAUAAUACCCGCAACUUUGACGGUACCUGCAGAAUAAGCACCGGCUACUACGUGCCAGCAGCCGCGGUAAUACGUAGGGUGCAAGGUUAAUCGGAAUUACUGGGCGUAAAGCGUGCGCAGGCGGUUCGGAAAGAAAGAUGUGAAAUCCCCAGAGCUUAACUUUGAACUGCAUUUUUAACUACCGAGCUAGAGUGUGUCAGAGGAGGAAUUCGCGUGUAGCAGUGAAAUGCGUAGAUAUGCGGAUAUUGAUGGCGAAGGCAGCCUCCUGGGAUAACACUAUCGCUCAUGCACGAAAGCGUGGGGAGCAAACAGGAUUAGAUACCCCGGUAGUCCACGCCCUAAACGAUGUCAACUAGCUGUUGGGGCCUUCGGGCCUUGGUAGCGCAGCUAACGCGUGAAGUUGACCGCCUGGGGAGUACGGUCGCAAGAUUAAACUCAAAGGAAUUAAUGGGACUCCGCACAAGCGGUGGAUAUGGAUUAAUUCGAUGCAACGCGAAAACCUUACCUACCCUUGACAUGUCUGAAUCCCGAAGGGAUUUGGGAGUGCUCGCAAGAGAACCGGAACACAGGUGCUGCAUGGCUGUCGUCAGCUCGUGUCGUGAGAUGCUGGGUUAAGUCCCGCAACGAGCGCAACCUCUUGUCAUUAGUUGGCGUUACGAAAGGGCACUCUAAUGAGACUGCCGGUGACAAACCGGAGGAAGGUGGGGAUGACGUCAAGUCCUCAUGGCCCUUAUGGGUAGGGCUUCACACGUCAUACAAUGGUCGGGACAGAGGGUCGCCAACCCGCGAGGGGGAGCUAAUCCCAGAAACCCGAUCAGUCCGGACUGCAGUCUGCAACUCGACUGCGUGAAGUCGGAAUCGCUAGUAAUCGCGGAUCAGUGUUAUGCGGUGAAUACGUUCGGUCUUGUACACACCGCCCGUCACACCAUGGGAGUGGGUUUUACCAGAAGUAGUUAGCCUAACCGUAAGGAGGGCGAUUACCACGGUAGGAUUCAUGACUGGGGUGAAGUCGUAACAAGGUAG